Molecule: ribosomal RNA, 569 nt
Filed under: Enterococcus casseliflavus
Lineage: Bacteria; Bacillati; Bacillota; Bacilli; Lactobacillales; Enterococcaceae
Description: bacterial SSU rRNA
Rfam family: Bacterial small subunit ribosomal RNA
Source: RNAcentral
CCAAGGGGGGGCAAAUACAUGCAAGUCGAACGCUUUUUCUUUCACCGGAGCUUGCUCCACCGAAAGAAAAAGAGUGGCGAACGGGUGAGUAACACGUGGGUAACCUGCCCAUCAGAAGGGGAUAACACUUGGAAACAGGUGCUAAUACCGUAUAACACUAUUUUCCGCAUGGAAGAAAGUUGAAAGGCGCUUUUGCGUCACUGAUGGAUGGACCCGCGGUGCAUUAGCUAGUUGGUGAGGUAACGGCUCACCAAGGCAACGAUGCAUAGCCGACCUGAGAGGGUGAUCGGCCACACUGGGACUGAGACACGGCCCAGACUCCUACGGGAGGCAGCAGUAGGGAAUCUUCGGCAAUGGACGAAAGUCUGACCGAGCAACGCCGCGUGAGUGAAGAAGGUUUUCGGAUCGUAAAACUCUGUUGUUAGAGAAGAACAAGGAUGAGAGUAAAAUGUUCAUCCCUUGACGGUAUCUAACCAGAAAGCCACGGCUAACUACGUGCCAGCAGCCGCGGUAAUACGUAGGUGGCAAGCGUUGUCCGGAUUUAUUGGGCGUAAAGCGAGCGCAGGCGG